Non-coding RNA from Cricetulus griseus (Chinese hamster), 2009 nucleotides. The record is from RefSeq and is a predicted model, not a curated record. Lineage: Eukaryota; Metazoa; Chordata; Mammalia; Rodentia; Cricetidae.
AGGAACUGUGAAACCAUUCAGAAAAGUUGUUUCCUCCAGUCAGAGGUUGAGGUUCAGUGGCUCACUUUCUCCCAAAAGUAAACUGGUGAGAAAAUAGGACCUCAAGGAUGCUAGUGAUUUCUCCAGGUAACAUGAGUGGGAGACGGUCAGCAUCACUGGAAACCUGGCCUUCCAUUUCCAAGAUCUGCACAAGAGGAAGGUGGAGCUUCAGGAUAGAUGAUUCUGCUAUCAUGCAGCGACUUUACCACUGAGCUUUUCCAGAUUGAAAAGGAAGAAAGAAACUUGCUUGCUGUCACUCCCCACAGGCGCCCGUGCUCCAAGACAGCUGUCUUUUGGCCAGCCUCCUGGGCUGCAAGAGUGUGGCGCCAAUGAAUCAAUGUGUCAUCCACAGGGGUGGAAGCAAGUUCCCUGACAGGGAUGGGAGUGUUCUCUCUCACGGCCGCCUGUGAUCAAAAGGAAGGCUGGCAGCCUCUUGACCUUGUAUUUGAUUAUGACUGAAGGCAAUGGCUUAUACCAAUCUGGUAUGUUCUGAGUCAGUUACUCUGCCUGGCUAGCCUCAGUUUCUUCUGUGCAAUGAGAAGAUGGCAGCAUAUUAUUUCCCAAAGUCUCUGUUCGCUAUCCUUUGCAAUUAGAGGCUGAUUUCAUACGAAUUUCCCAACUUGCUCUUUUUUUUCCCCGAAACCCUCAACCAAGCAGGCCUCCAAUGCAAUAUAAGUGCACAUGGACAGUGAUUGCUUCUCCUCUUGACAUGGAUGAAACACCUGAGAAGGUCAUGUUUCCUCAUUUGUUUCCCUUUGGAUGCUCUACAAGUGUCUUCACCUUCUCUCUGUGUUGAAAAACACUGUUCUGUUGACUGGUUUCCAGGUGAAUAAAUGGGACAAGAAACGCUGCUCAUUACUGUAUAGCCCAUGAGCCUGAAUCUGGAGACUGAUCUCUUUAUCACUGUACCCCAGAGGUAAGGCUGAUGUCCAUUCAUGUGAGUGGAGGAGCUUUUUUUUUUUUAACAUUCAUAUUGGGAUGGAGAGAUAGCUCAACUGUUAGGAGGGUUGGCUAAUCUUCCUUGGGACCUGGGUCCAUUUCCCAGCAACCACAUGGCAGCUUACAACUGUCUGUAACUCAAGUUCCACAGGGUCUGAUGCCCUUUUCUGGUCUCUGUGGGCACCAGGCACAUGUGUGGUGCAUAGACAUGCAUGAGAUAAAACACCCAUAAGCAUAAAAUAAAAAAAAUAGAGGGGAAAAAUCGAAAAUACUCAUGUCCAAUGCUAGAUCCUGAUCUCCUAAAGGGAGGUGGAUCUGGGCACUGAUAUUUCUUUAGGCUCCCUGAGUAACUUCAGUGUGUGCUAGCACUGGGUAAUAAAGAGGAGGGGUGGGGGCUGCUACUACAAUGCUGUUCUCAUCCAGGAAGUCAUUGCCAAGCCCUGCAAUCAGAUGGUGGCUUCUCUCAGAAAAGACAAGAAGGAAGAUAAGGGCAAGACAGAAUCAGGGCUGCUUGACACAGAUCUGUCCACUGUCACUUCGAGGUCCCCUCCAACAGGACCUUGAAAACGUACAACACCCUCGAAACACCAGAUUAGUAUCUCCAUUUUAGAGUUUAAAUAAACAACUUGCCUAUGUGGUUAAAAAAAAAUGGGCAUAUGUUACACAACUGCUAACAAAUAGAGGAGUUUAGGCUUGAAUUGGGUUAUUGGACUUCCAUGUCAAUUCCCAUACAUCUGAAACCCAGUAUGACAGACUGCAAAGAGAAUGCACUUCAGUUAGCAUUUGCAUGAUGUUGAAUGAGGCACUUGAGGCUAAAGAGAUGAUACCACUGGCCUUGCUCAAUGUGCCAGCUGUGGUGGGACAGCAGCAGGAGAGGGAAGAGUAAGAAGGAUAUGAUGUCUUGGCUCUUAGGAAGUUAGUUGAGAAGAGCUACCCCAUUUUGUUCAAGUUCACCUGGUUUCCCCAAGCAGAAACCAUAACAGAUUUAGGGCAGAAAAAACAAAACAAAACAAAACAAAACAAAAAACCAA